RNAcentral lists this ribosomal RNA (253 nucleotides) under uncultured bacterium. RNAcentral describes it as "partial 16S ribosomal RNA". It matches the Rfam family "Bacterial small subunit ribosomal RNA", at positions 524 to 776 of the family's 1533-position model. The record is from RNAcentral.
UACAGAGGUCUCAAGCGUUGUUCGGAUUCAUUGGGCGUAAAGGGUGCGUAGGUGGCGCCGUAAGUCGGGUGUGAAAUUUCGGAGCUUAACUCCGAAACUGCAUUCGAUACUGCGGUGCUUGAGGACUGGAGAGGAGACUGGAAUUCAUGGUGUAGCAGUGAAAUGCGUAGAGAUCAUGAGGAAGACCAGUGGCGGAGACGGGUCUCUGGACAGUUCCUGACACUGAGGCACGAAGGCCAGGGGAGCAAACGGG